Molecule: ribosomal RNA, 253 nt
Filed under: uncultured bacterium
Lineage: Bacteria
Description: partial 16S ribosomal RNA
Rfam family: Bacterial small subunit ribosomal RNA
Source: RNAcentral
UACGUAGGGUGCAAGCGUUGUCCGGAAUUAUUGGGCGUAAAGAGCUCGUAGGCGGUCUGUCGCGUCUGCUGUGAAAACUCGGGGCUUAACCCCGGGCCUGCAGUGGGUACGGGCAGACUAGAGUGCGGUAGGGGAGACUGGAAUUCCUGGUGUAGCGGUGAAAUGCGCAGAUAUCAGGAGGAACACCGGUGGCGAAGGCGGGUCGCUGGGCCGUAACUGACGCUGAGGAGCGAAAGCAUGGGGAGCGAACAGG